UACGUGGGCAGCAAGCGUUGUUCGGAGUUACUGGGCGUAAAGGGUGCGUAGGCGGCUUUUUAAGUUUGGUGUGAAAUCUCCCGGCUCAACUGGGAGGGUGCGCCGAAUACUGAGAGGCUAGAGUGCGGGAGAGGAAAGUGGAAUUCCUGGUGUAGCGGUGAAAUGCGUAGAUAUCAGGAGGAACACCGGUGGUGUAAACGGCUUUCUGGACCGUAACUGACGCUGAGGCACGAAAGCGUGGGUAGCAAACAGG
This 253-nucleotide ribosomal RNA is filed under the name uncultured bacterium. Its description in RNAcentral is "partial 16S ribosomal RNA". It matches the Rfam family "Bacterial small subunit ribosomal RNA", at positions 524 to 776 of the family's 1533-position model. The record is from RNAcentral.